This 253-nucleotide ribosomal RNA is filed under the name uncultured bacterium. RNAcentral's name for it is "partial 16S ribosomal RNA". It matches the Rfam family "Bacterial small subunit ribosomal RNA", at positions 524 to 776 of the family's 1533-position model. The record is from RNAcentral.
UACGUAGGUGGCAAGCGUUGUCCGGAUUUACUGGGCGUAAAGGGCGUGCAGGCGGUUUGUUAAGUUCAGGGUGAAAGCUCCCGGCUCAACUGGGAGAGGUCCUUGGAUACUGGCAGACUUGAGGAGGGUAGAGGAGAGUGGAAUUCCCGGUGUAGUGGUGAUAUGCGUAGAUAUCGGGAGGAACACCAGUGGCGAAGGCGGCUCUCUGGGCCCUACCUGACGCUGAGACGCGAAAGCGUGGGGAGCGAACCGG